ACGCCGAAGACUAUGAACCUGCGAAUGCUCUCCCUGGCCCCCGUCGCAACGGUGGGAGGGAUUGAGUAUUGAGACCUUUCGGAAGUGAAGCGCUGCUCUUUAGCUAGGAGAACGAGGGGGGGGGGUCCUUCUCCGAACAAUGCUGUUUAGUAUUAACCGGAGCUUGCUUCAGCCAAGCCCGGUUUGCUUUAUUUGUUCUUCUUGUCUGUGUACAUCUUGGUCCUGCGAUCUCUAAGCCCUACGAUCCAUGAAGUAUAUGUGUGUGUUGCUGAAGACGAUAAGUUAGUAAUGCACGCUCUUUUCCUUCCUUGCGAUUCCAGCCGGCCGGUGAUCGCGCGCGCGCGCUCGUGCCACCCGACGCUUUUGACCUACGAUUUAUGAUCGGAUAUAACAUUCUCAGCAUCAUACACAUUUUCGUUAUCCCUUCAUUAUCACUAUACUUGAGACGGGAGUGUAAUGUUACUCCCAAGUAUUUAACCUUAUCAGCCCAUUUGACUUCACUUCCUUGUAUUUUGUUCCUUGGGCAGUAAUUUCUUUGAUUUCCUAUGUAGAAACAUGAUUGUUAUUCGGCCGGCUCGCGAAGGACGACAGCCAGGCCGGACACCAAAUAACGGUGGGACACUGUCGGUAGCCGACUCUUAGUUGCCCCUCUCUCUCGGGGGCCUAUCGAGUGUGUCGGAUUUCCGCUCUGGAAUUGAUUUCGGAUUCGUAACUGGGCCCUAGUUCCACCUCUCGUUCGGGAGGCUAUAGGCUACAUCGAGGACAAAAUUCAGAGAGCGUUCUGUUUCAAUUCCCGAUUUAUUAAUCGUUCCGGCCCUCUUUUAGACUCGGGGCCGGACGAUAUCCUGUCUCCCCCCGGGACACACUUCCCAUAACGCAUUCGCGUACAAUGCGAACUAUAAUCCGAUCAUCAUCUCAUCACUAUAACCCGUUAUCACAUAAUUAUCACUCGCAUGGAGGUAGGCCACCGCGUAACAAUGAUAGCCUGCGAUUUAGAGGAGUUAAUGCAGAUCUUCCAGUCUGAUAAAUAGUUAACAUAUACAUUGAGGCCUAUCUGUAGUUUUUUAACUACGUCUGUAGCUCUGCCUGUGUAGUGAACUGCUGUGUCGUCUGCAUAUAACGAUAUUACUCCACCUUCAGGUAAUUCCGGUAUAUCUGAGGUGUAUAUAAUGUACAGCAGAGGCCCUAGUACGCUACCCUGGGGAACACCAGCAGGGAUGUUUGUUGGGGCCUCGAUCGUUCGUGCGCCAUUCCUUUUAUUCUCUUCCAGUGCCGUCAUUCGGCCCCACUACCUUACAAUGCACCCACACUCACCUUUUUAGAGAACGAAGAGGCAUUCAUCUGUUGGAAUUUUUGAGAAAUUCACCUUAGCGGUGCUCCUGAUUGUCUCCAUGGUUUUCCGGCCUAGCAACUACCGGCACUUGUCAUAUGCCCUCGUGGCUCUAAUUGAAACUUGUUUCAACGGUCUGCAAUUCAGACCUAAAUAUAGUUAAAUCUACUAACAUCCUAACAAUAUUCCUUUUCCCACUUUUGUACCUUUUUUUAUACGGGAAAGGAACUUAAUUCCUUCGUAGAAUUCAUAGAGAACGAGAAGCAAUUCCUAUUUCAGUAUUUUUUGUUCAGUAACAUGAAGCACUUCAUGCUUGAGUAAUACAAGUUGUUGUGAAUCAUCCAAGCCAAGCCAUACACGCUGCUCUAAUUGCUUUUCGUACAAGAGAGCUAAAAUUUAAGAGCACUUUGCUCAAAGAUUAUAAAAUGAAAUGACGUUUAAACCAAAACCGCGUGCAUUUAUUCAUCAUAAUUAAUGUGUUAACAAUAAUAGUCGCCUGGAUGUCCAAGACGUAGGAAUGCCAAUACAAACGAUUAGAUUUUAAAUAGCCUGAUACAAUAAUUUUAGCUCCUUCGUUUUUGUUAUAAAAAGACAGAAAAAGCCAUAGGUUCAAUACGUUCACGGCACUUAUUUGAAUUACGUACGUUAGAUGAGAAUGUUUCACAUUGAAACUUGAAGAACUCUUAUUACUAUCGACCGAAAACGGAACAUUGUUACACAUUUCUAGUUACACCAACAACUAGAAUCACAGAACAAAAAAUUGGAUUUGACCACACAAGGAAAGAUUGUCAUUGCAAUGCAGAUUCCUUCGCAUUAUUCAACGUUAAAGUAAAAGCAACCUCAAUCUCAACGAACGUCAUCACUGAGCUCGAGAUAAAAUUCCGAGGAAGCUUCAAUUCAUCGGGCAAUCACCCAGCAUCAACAGACAUGUGGAACAUGUCUCAUCUACAGACACCUUCAGAGAACGAGAACGCUUCAUCGCUCCCACGAAACGUCGAGUAGAAAAUGCCUAAUACCAACGAGAAGCUACAUGGAAUACGAUUCAACUAAACUCAAGAAUUAUCAAACACAAAGGGAGCCAACUCUUCGGUACAAUUUCAUCAUCUUCACGGAAACCUCACAAUUCACGAAAACCCCGGCAGAGUAUCAAUUCCAAGCAGCUUUUUCUAUGGGAGUUGGGUGUACGAAGAAAUAACAUAUUCCAUAAAUAAUGUUAGGAAACAGGAUCACUUUUAGUGAUUAGGAUAAUAGUGUAGGGAAUAGAAUGCAGCUUUGGUCACCUAAUAUCCUCGAACCAUAUCUCAGCUUGAUCACUUCAAUGAUCCGCCACAGCCUUGGUGAUAAGAAAACCAUGUUAUCUGCCAUCACUUCCAACAAAAUCAGAAAAGAGAGAAUGUCAUUGAAAAUGAAUACACCAGAAGACAGCACGCUAAAGCAACAUCAUCACCAGAAGCUCACAGACAACGUUACUGCAUUACUUAAUCAGCAUUGGACAAGAUGUAAUUCCUGUGGAGCGCAGUGUCAAUAGAUUUACGCCGCAUCCGUGUUAGACGCAUGGAAUACUCCAACAAACAACACUGACUACAAUGGAUCUUUGGCGUCGACAAGAAAAGAGUGCAGCAUUACAACGAUACAAUGCAUAAUUAUUCUAAAUCAUUCGCUUUGAAAUUCAUACCAGCUAAUGUGGAAGAAAAGAGGGAGAAACAGUCAGUUCCGGUAUGAUUGCUGUCUUGACCCGAUAAUCUUCAAAUUACAACAGUCAGUUCCGGUAUGAUUGCUGUCAUGGCGCGAUAAUCUAAAAACUACAACGAUACUACAAUGAUGAAUGAGAUGUCGCAAUACACCAUCUGAGCGACACUAUACAGCAAAUACAAUUGGAUGAUCGGAAGAAUUUACUUUGAAAUUCAUACCAGCUACUGUGUAAGAAAAGAGGGAGAAACAGUCAGUUCCGGUAUGAUUGCUGUCAUGGCGCGAUAAUCUACAAACUACAACGAUACUACAAUGAUGAAUGAGAUGUCGCAAUACACCAUUUGAGCGACACUAUACAGCAAACACAAUUGCAUUAGAACAACACUACACAACAUCAACUUGAAUGUGGAAGAGAGCUAGUGACAUGUUGGCUAUGCGGGUUUUCAUCGCAAAGGUAGGUGGUGGUGUCAUUGGAGGCGAUUAUUGCUAGCGAUAUGGUUUACGGGUACCAGGAAACCAAAAACUAGGGAAAAGUAGGAAAUGUACAAUGUUAAUAAAAAAGCAACAAUAGGUAGUAGGAUAAAUUCUCAAAAUAAUACAGGAUAAUGGGAUAUAAUGUAGGGUAAAGUGUAGGUAUAAAAAGGUAGCGCGAAAGGGGUGAAGUGAUUAGGACAAUGAAUGGAUUAAAGAAUGAAGAUAUUGUAAAUGUAACUAAAGAGGUUCUGUUCAAUGUUAGUAAAUAGUUUAUGAUGAACAGUGAAUGAAGUUACCAAAUCGAUUAUUUAUGUUAUUAUUUAAAUUAAAAUCAGAUCUUUAAAAGAAAUUAACCUGGAAAAUACCA
Long non-coding RNA from Anopheles aquasalis, 3860 nucleotides. RefSeq lists it as uncharacterized. NCBI's taxonomy places the organism in Eukaryota, Metazoa, Arthropoda, Insecta, Diptera, Culicidae. The record is from RefSeq and is a predicted model, not a curated record.